RNAcentral lists this transfer RNA (87 nucleotides) under Candidatus Hydrogenedens sp. Its description in RNAcentral is "tRNA-Leu". It matches the Rfam family "tRNA". Rfam says of the family: Transfer RNA (tRNA) molecules are approximately 80 nucleotides in length. Their secondary structure includes four short double-helical elements and three loops (D, anti-codon, and T loops). Further hydrogen bonds mediate the characteristic L-shaped molecular structure. tRNAs have two regions of fundamental functional importance: the anti-codon, which is responsible for specific mRNA codon recognition, and the 3' end, to which the tRNAs corresponding amino acid is attached (by aminoacyl-tRNA synthetases). tRNAs cope with the degeneracy of the genetic code in two manners: having more than one tRNA (with a specific anti-codon) for a particular amino acid; and 'wobble' base-pairing, i.e. permitting non-standard base-pairing at the 3rd anti-codon position. Lineage: Bacteria; Pseudomonadati; Candidatus Hydrogenedentota; Candidatus Hydrogenedentia; Candidatus Hydrogenedentales; Candidatus Hydrogenedentaceae. The record is from RNAcentral.
GCCGGGAUGGCGAAAUCGGCAGACGCACCGGAUUCAAAAUCCGGCGGUAGCAAUACCAUGAGGGUUCGAUUCCCUCUCCCGGCACCA